AUGAAAGGAAAGAUAGUUGAAGCAGAACCAUCCGACUGCCAGCAAUCCAAGGACAAGGGAAAGAAAGUGGUGUUUGAGAAAUCUGAGUUUCCGCCACUUGUUUACAAGGGAAAAGAGAAGAUGGUAGAGACACUCAACUCCAAGAUACCUGAGAAAAGAGGCGGCGUUGCGGUCAUAUUGCCGUCAGCAUCAUCUUCAACAGGAAGGCCUACCAACGGUCAAAUUAUACUUCGAGCCGAUGCUCUUGAGUUUGCCCCCUCACUGGCCCAUAAACCUAGUGAGGAACACUUGGGAAUAAUGCAAAAACGUUCUGUGGAAUGGAAGGGAGUGUGCCUUACAUCUGGUGACCUCAAAGCAGGCCACAUAAAUCCAACAUCUGCACCAUCAGUUGCUCUGUUUGAAGAAGCACCCAUCCUACGAGAGUCCUUUAAAGGUUCGUUUGAUCCAGUGCGACAUCAACGGCGACAGAGAAAUGUUCGUCGAUCUUGGAUUGAUCUUCCAGCUGCCGUAGAUCAAGAGGCGGCGAGCCGACACCAUUCUCAUGUGAGCAAGUCCGUCAAGGGGAGGUGGAAAAACACUCGUCCAAAAAUCCAAAUUCGAAAUCCAUAUGACUCAUAUGUUGUUAAAUGCAUUGCAUCCACAUCACAAAAUGAUGAGGGUGGCGCCAUCAUGCGACUGGCAGAGGCCCUGGCCCGGCCUGAGUACCAAGAAUUCAUUCAGCAACAUCCUGAACAUCAAGAUUAUGUGAACCAAGCUGCUCAUGUCCGUUCAAGAAGGGCGGAGUACAAAGAAAGAGAAAGGGCAGUACGGGCAAGGUCUGGGUCAAGCAGAGUCCAAGGGGCAGAGCACGCCCCAUCAGAUGAGCCCUCUCGUAAGAAAACCAAGAAUAAAUCAUUCGAGGUGUUCCAAGCAAUGCCAGUUGGUGUCAGGGCGGCAUCAGACAAGACCAGCGAAACAUCCUCCACAUCAAUACAUUUCAAGAGGAAGAAGGCACGCAAAACUGUCAUAGAAGGUCCUCGUCGUAGUACACGAAGCCAAAAGGGUUCAGAUUAUGAAGAACUUGGGUCUAGCUGUGGUGGGUCUUAUAAUCCCCUAUCGGGCAGUACCCCAUGUCCUUCUGAAAAUGAGAUAGAACUCCACCAUGGUGCAGAGCAU
RNAcentral lists this ribosomal RNA (1155 nucleotides) under Triticum aestivum (bread wheat). RNAcentral describes it as "partial small subunit ribosomal RNA". Lineage: Eukaryota; Viridiplantae; Streptophyta; Magnoliopsida; Poales; Poaceae. The record is from RNAcentral.